UACGUAGGGGGCAAGCGUUAUCCGGAUUUACUGGGUGUAAAGGGAGCGUAGACGGCAUUGCAAGUCCGGAGUGAAAGCCCACGGCCCAACCGUGGGACUGCUCUGGAAACUGUAGAGCUGGAGUGCGGGAGGGGCAGGCGGAAUUCCUAGUGUAGCGGUGAAAUGCGUAGAUAUUAGGAGGAACACCGGCGGCGAAGGCGGCCUGCUGGACCGUAACUGACGUUGAGGCUCGAAAGCAUGGGGAGCAAACAGG
Molecule: ribosomal RNA, 253 nt
Filed under: uncultured bacterium
Lineage: Bacteria
Description: partial 16S ribosomal RNA
Rfam family: Bacterial small subunit ribosomal RNA
Source: RNAcentral